UUCCCCCAUCUGAGAACCCAAGGCGAUGUUCCAACUCUUUUUCUUCACAAAAAGGGGACAAAGAACAUACCCCAAAAAUUCAGCAAUGCUUUUCUCCUUCUCCAACCCUUAUGCACCCUAAGCUCCUUUCUUCUUCAUGGACAGCCCCCGCCUCCUGUUUUGCUUUCAUCUUCUUCAUCCAUCACCAUGGACGCUGGCCAAAACCAGCAGUGAAACUCCAUUGCCGGCGAUUGCAGAUCUCACCUUCAUUAUCAUCUCUCUCACCCCUCUUUCCGUUGCGAUGAAACUUGCUGGAAGUCGGGGAAACUGCAGCUCCCAUUUCGUUCAUUAAUGGUGCUUUAGAUCUAACAAGAUCGGGCCUGUUUUGUUCUCGUUUUUCCGAUAAAUCAUUCAUCAUCGUUUAUUUUCUUGCUGAUAUAAGUGAAUGCGGAUGAAGAAAGCCCCAAACCAGUUGUUGGCUCAAGUUGUUUCUGGACUAAAGUCGUGUCUGAUGUUACUGGGAUGCUGCUGUAUCUACUGAUUUCUGCUUACGCCGAGCUCCCCGUUACUAUUUUAGCAUGGUUGAGUCUUCUCGUCGAAGUUCCAUCUUUGUAAUCUAGAAAUUUUCAUAUAUAAAACGCUAAUUUGGAGCCGUGGAAUUGCCGCUCGUUGUCCGCUGAUUUGCAUUGUUGUUGUACUGCUUCUCGUUGCUGUUAUGCUGCUGUGGAGCUACAUUUUUCUUUAAUUCCAUACUUUAUUUGAUCAAUUUCUGCAAUUCCUCCACUUUUAGGUAUGUACAUUCACCUAUCAGCAUUUACUUGAAUUCAUGAAUGAAAUGUGGUUAGCUUGUGUUGAUGUUUUGUUUGUUUACUUAGAGAUUGCAAGGAAUUUUGGGGAACUGAGUAUGUCUGGAAUGUACUGAUAUAAUGUCAAGGAAUUUUGGGGAACUGAGUAUGUCUGGAAUGUACUGAUAUAAUGUUAAAACUAGGAUAUGAAUAUAAGAAGUGACUUAAAAUAUUUGUGAAGAGUAGUUCAUAGUUUACUGAUUCAAUCCAUUUCGGUCAGCUCAUUGAGAUGUUUGGCCACCACGUUUUGGGAUUGGCUUCACUGGAAGCCCAUGUUUGUUCGUUAGAUUUGGUAAAAUUAUGAUGCAAACUUUUGAGCAAAUUAAUUGAUAAUUUUUUUAUACUAUUAUUAAUCAACACAAUGCAAAUAACAAAGAACGUAGUCAAUGGCCUUACACUUAGACCUUUGUGGCCAUUCAAAGUUUUAUAUUUAUUUAAGAGAUCUCAUCCUCUUUGCAUAUUUCAACAACCAAUUUCAAUCAAUUGUCGAUAUAUCUCAUUAUGUUUCACAUUUCUUUAGCGUAGAACUACAUAUAUAUUUGAUACACAAAUUCACUCUAAUUCGUAGCUUCACAAAAUCCCCAAACUUGGAAAAAUGAAUCCAAGGAACAUCGUAGCUUGCUUUAGGCGCAAUUAAAUAAAUCAUCACGACUAUAGGUACGGUCCCCGUGGCAUGAUCGUGAUACCUAAUCCAAAAUUCGGGUGUGUAUUUCAUGUGACCCGAUCAUAACAACUUCAAACAUUAAUAAAAAAUAAACAUGUUACAAAUCGCGGGUGCAUUUCAUGUAGCGUGGUUUGCGGUGUGUUCCAAAACAGCAAGUGUACGACAAUCGUAACUUGUUCAAGAAAUAAAUCUAUAAAUCCUAAAAAUGGUUAAAUAAUUAAUUAAAAGGCGGUUAUAAAGCUAAAAAUGCACAAUAGGUUUAAAACAUGUAGUAAAUCAGAUAAUAGGCCAAUAUUAAUAGUUUAAGCGGCCGUGCUCGAACCACGGAACUCGGGAAUGCCUAACACCUUCUCCUGGUUAACAGAAUUCCUUACUUAGAAUUUCUGGUUCGUAGGCUUUUAAAAUAAAGUCGAAAUUUCCUCGAUUUUGUGAUUUUAAAAUAGACCGGUGACUUGGGACACCAAAUAAACUAUUCCAAAUGGCGACUCUGAAAAAUAAAUAAAUAAUCAUAUUUCGAAUAAUAUCACUUUAAUUGGAAAAACUCCCUUAUAUUCCCUCCCACCGGGUGGUAAAAAGGAGGUGUGACAAGCCUCACUUUCAGUUGUUGCUCGGCUGCAUUUCGUGCCUAAGAAACUUGGAAUGUUGCCGUCUUUUUUGUGUUUUUCUCUAGGUCCUCUUUAUUUUAGGAGUUAGGUAUUAUUUUAUAGGGAUUAGAAAUUAGGUUAGGUCAAAUGAGGAAUGGAUAUGAGCUUGGAUUUUGGAAAUUGGGUUGGACCAUGUCUUAUUGGGUUUUAACUUUGGGGUAAGAACGACUAAAUAAUGCAAUUUAUCUAUAAAGUAUAAAAAUCACUCUUAAUAAAAAUAAACUAAUAUAAAUCUAAAUACUAAAAGUGAAACUAAUUUUUUUUUGUAUUUUCAAAUUGUAUAAUACUAUAAAUAUAAAUAUACUAAUUGACUUUAGCCUAAAGAUGAAUUUUUUUUUUAAUUUUUUUUUGUUAAAAAAAAUAAUGUAAAAGAGUUAAAACUAUUUAAAAUAGUAAUAUUAGACCUAAACUAAAUAUUUAAUGCUAAAAUAUGUAAAUCUUGGGGAGGGUAAAAAAUUACAUGUCUACACCAUCUCGCUAGUCGAUCACUAAGAACAACUUUUCACAUCACGAACUUGAUGGGAUUUGCUUUAGAAACAAGACGGACAACAUGAGCUUGAAAGUAGUGCUUCAACUUUUGAAUUGAGAAGACUAGCGCCAAACACAACUUUUCAAUUGGCGAAUAAUUCAGGUCGUUUGGUGUCAUCAUCUUGCUCAAGUAGUAAAGGGAAUUUUCUUUCCCUUCACUAUUUUCUUGGUCCAACAACGCUCCAACAGACCUUUCUUGGGCUGAAAUGUAUAGUAUCAGCGACUUUCCAAGUAUAGGGGAUGCCAAAACUGGAGGCUUCAUCAAGUAGGAUUUAAUGCUCUCAAAGGCGUUGCUAUACGCUUGGUCCCAUUUGAAAGGGACACCUUUCUUCAUAAGGCAACUGAAUGGUUGGAACCUCCCAGCUAGGUUUGAGAUGAAUCUCCUAAGGUACGCUAACUUUCCUUGCAGACUUUUCAAUUCGUAAAUAUCCCGAGGCUCAGGCAUUUUCAAGAUCACAUCUACUUUGGCUUGAUUAAUUUCAAUCCCUCGAUGUCAAACAAUGAAACCAAGGAACUUUAUGGAAGUAACUCCAAAGGCGCAUUUCAAUGGAUUCAUCCUAAGUUGGUACCUCCGGAGCAACUCAAACACUAUUCUCAAGUCUUUCAAGUGGUCGCCCUUCUCUCUUGAUUUUACCACCAAGUUGUCAACAUAGUAUUCGACAUUCUUGUGGAGAAGAUUGUCAAAAAUAUUCUGCAUAGCCCUUUGGUAAGUAGAACAAGCGUUCUUCAAGCCAAAAGGCAUUACCUUGUAACAACAAAUACCCUUCGGAGUGCAAAAUGCAGUAAGUUCUUCAUCUUUUUGUGCCAUGCAAAUUUGGUUAUAGCCCAACGAACUGUCCAUGAAAGACAUUGCCUAGUAACCAGUAGUAGUAUUGACCAUCAGCUCUGGAAUAGGGAGCGAGAAUUCAUCUUUGGGACACACAUUGUUGAGAUCCCUGAAGUCAAUGCAUACUCGAAUUUGGCCAUUCUUCUUCCUUCAGGGACAAUACUUGAAACCCGUGUUGGGUAUUUAACUUCCCGAAUAAAUCCAACUUCAAUGAGUUUGUUAACUUCGGUUUCGAUCAGGGGAACCAAGUUCGGCCUAAAGCGCCUUUGAGCUUGCUUAACAGGACGAGCGUCAUUCUUGACUGCAAGGUGAUGGACUGCUACUUUAGGGUCCAAGCCAGGCAUUUCUUUGUAACUCCAAGCAAAGACAUCUCAAAACUCUUUGAGUAACUCAAUAUAAGUGCUUUCUUCAUCAACUUCUAGUAAAACACUUAGGUAGGUGGGUCUUGGUUCUUCAUCAGUGCCAAGGUUAACUUCUUUUAAGGCAUCAAUCAUUGCCUUCACCCCUUAUUCAAGUUCUAGCGGAGUAGAUUUUUCAUCUACAUCUUCUUGGGUCCCCAUCGUUAAAGGAUAUGUGAUAACAUGGUGAAAUAUUGUCCAAUUUUUCAUCAUCCUCUAUUAGAGAUAAAACACCAUGCUCGCCUUGUGCAGUAACAUGAUACGAAGAACCCAUACUUUCUUCAUCUUUAUCACAUUCUUUAGUGUAGAUGAUAAUGUAUGGCUUCACCUUCAGUACCUCAUCACACGAGACCAUGACUUUUGUUUGUCGCUUCAUUCUAGAAGGGACCUAACUUUGGAAAUCCUUAGAGAUCUUCUGAAUUUUUGGCGAAGAGGGUGUUCUUGUAUUUCGAUAAUUUCUCUAGAACUUAUUACCCUUCUUUAAUGGACCCAAUCUCUCAAAUAUGGAAGUUCUCACAGUUGAUUUUCCGAGUCGAUCAAAGACAAAAGACUUGUUAGAAGCGGCCGAUUCAUCUUCUACAAUGAUAUAAUUGUUGCUCGCCCUUCUUAUGGAGAUGUGCACUGGUGAUGGUUGCUUGUAUCUCAAACCUUCACAUGGUUGUCUCGUCACAGCUUCUGAUGGUAGCUUCCCUAACUUUGAUGGCUCAUUAGGAUUGUAUCCAGAUUUUGCAAAUAGCAUGUAAGCGUUAGGAUCAAAACCUUCAUUUGUUCGCUUUGUAGGGAGUUUCACAUUCUGUAAACAAUUUUGGGCCACAAACCCUGCAAGCAGCAUUGAGGAUGACUUUACAGCCUUAAUUCGGUUGACCGGAAGAGUUAAACUCCUUUAACAUGUUAGUUUGGAGAUUAGAUAAUUCACCUUCAUCUUUCUUCCUUUUAUGGGCAUAUUGGAGCAUAAGAUUUACUUUCUUGCCAUAAGACGCAAUAUUCCCUCUAUAAGAUUUAUUCGUGUUAGGUUGUACCUCCUCAGUAACAGCUUGGGCUUCACCAGUAGUCACCUCUUCUAUUUUUAUUAUGGGCUCGUUGUUCUUGCUUUUUAUGCCAUCAUCGGCUUUUAGCUCCUUCACAAUGCAGUUCUUCAAGUAAAACUUUGCAUCGGCGAACUGUGACUCAGCCUCGGUGAAUGGCUCAUCAUCAGAAACUAUCUUCUUCUCGAUUUCACCCUCGUAGUAUUUUAAAUAUUGAUGGUAGGUAGAUGGAACUACUUUAUUCUCAUGUAUCCAAGGCAUUCCAAGCAAAACGUUGUAUGAAGUCUUUGCAUCGAUCACAUGUAGCCAUGCACUUGAUUGCAUAUCUUUAAUGGUGAUUUCCAGCCUGAUCGCACCUAUGUCUCUUUGCCCCCCUUGGUUGAAUCCUUGGAUCAUCACACAACUUUCUGAGAGUUCGUUCAUGGAAAUACCAAGUUCUUUCAUAGUGCGAAUUGGCAAAAUAUUCACUGAGGAUCCUCCAUUAACCAAAAUUCGAUUUACCCUAUCAUCACGCAUAUAGCCAUCCAGGUAUAAUGGGCGGUUAUGAAGAGUAUCACCUAGCAGAAGAUCAUCAUUUGUGAACAUGACUUUGUCCUCACAAGCGUUAACUUCUUAAGGAGUGAACUCAAUGAGCUUUUCUGAAAACGGUGUCAACGGUAGGUCAUCACUCUUUUCUUCCCCUUUGUUAGCAUGGCAACAAGAGGCAUCGAUACCUUCAUGGGAAAUCUUCGUGCGGAACCAACUUGGUAAAAACUCCUCCAAGGUCACUGGAUUUUGUGGCUUUUGAGAGUGGUGUACCUCCACUUUUGCUCUCUUUAAGUGCUUAACUGGAUUCCAUCUCCUUGGUCUUUUUACCAUUAUUUUCCUUGUUGGUUGUUCUAUUGAUUCUUUUUCUAGGCUCCUUCUGUGGUGAUUACGAUGAGUCACCAACGUCCAACCUUCAUCAUCACCAGGUUGAUUGACUUAAGCUUUGUCGUUCUCCAGUAAUUCUUCAUCUUUACUUUCUUUAAAACCACAUAAUUCAUUCGGACUGAAUGAGCCAAAGGUGAUAGUGACUUAGUUUGUGCUUGCUUUCUUAUCUUCAAGCAUGAUCUCAUUUUCGCGAUCCAAGUCCAUAACUUUGUCUUUGAAGACAAAGCACUUCUCCAGAGGGUGGCUCACAAGUCGAUGAUAUUUGCAGUAAUUUGGGUCAUUUGUUUUCCCAGCUUCAUUUGGUCGCUUCAUCUCCGGAAGCUCAAUGAUAUUUAACUCGAUGAGUUCUUCAAAAAUAGCUGGCACAUCAAAAUCAAGAAAUGGGUACUCCUUCUCUUGCAUUUCUUUUAGAGUUAACUUUCCACUUGGCUUAUCAUGAAAAGAAGUGGAUUUCAUACUCUGCUUCUUGCUCACCUUCGUUGUGAACUUCACAGGUGAUGUGUUGACAUUCAUAUCUUGUUUGUUUUCAGAUUUAGGUACGAACUUAUCCUAUUUCCUGACUUCUUUCUUGUCGUUCCCUUUGCGAGGCUCAUAGAUAGGAAACCUUUCAUUUCCAGCGGAGGCCAUGCUCAACUCAAUGUCAUGGGCACGAGUCGCAAGUUCUUCAAAUGUGC
This 6495-nucleotide long non-coding RNA is filed under the name Nicotiana tabacum (common tobacco). RNAcentral's name for it is "long non-coding RNA (NTAB_LNC013745)". Lineage: Eukaryota; Viridiplantae; Streptophyta; Magnoliopsida; Solanales; Solanaceae. The record is from RNAcentral.